RNAcentral lists this ribosomal RNA (457 nucleotides) under Leclercia adecarboxylata. Its description in RNAcentral is "bacterial SSU rRNA". It matches the Rfam family "Bacterial small subunit ribosomal RNA", at positions 1 to 456 of the family's 1533-position model. Lineage: Bacteria; Pseudomonadati; Pseudomonadota; Gammaproteobacteria; Enterobacterales; Enterobacteriaceae. The record is from RNAcentral. RNAcentral also lists the same sequence under 2 other names.
AAAUUGAAGAGUUUGAUCAUGGCUCAGAUUGAACGCUGGCGGCAGGCCUAACACAUGCAAGUCGAACGGUAGCACAGAGAGCUUGCUCUCGGGUGACGAGUGGCGGACGGGUGAGUAAUGUCUGGGAAACUGCCUGAUGGAGGGGGAUAACUACUGGAAACGGUAGCUAAUACCGCAUAACGUCGCAAGACCAAAGAGGGGGACCUUCGGGCCUCUUGCCAUCAGAUGUGCCCAGAUGGGAUUAGCUAGUAGGUGGGGUAAUGGCUCACCUAGGCGACGAUCCCUAGCUGGUCUGAGAGGAUGACCAGCCACACUGGAACUGAGACACGGUCCAGACUCCUACGGGAGGCAGCAGUGGGGAAUAUUGCACAAUGGGCGCAAGCCUGAUGCAGCCAUGCCGCGUGUAUGAAGAAGGCCUUCGGGUUGUAAAGUACUUUCAGCGGGGAGGAAGGUGUUG